Molecule: long non-coding RNA, 476 nt
Organism: Rosa chinensis
Lineage: Eukaryota; Viridiplantae; Streptophyta; Magnoliopsida; Rosales; Rosaceae
Exons: 2
Source: RefSeq, a predicted model, not a curated record
UCAAAUCGAAAAUCCUCAUCUAGAGCAGAUCUCUCCUUACUACUCCUUUUGUCUCACACCUUCAAAUACCCCCUCCAACUUUUCUUCAACAUAUACCCAGAAACCCUAAUCCCAAAAUUUGCCCUAUUCGCUGUAGAAAAUUGAGAAUUCGUUUCAAAGCCGAAGGAUAUAAAUGGAAAUAAUCAAGAGAAGUAGUACAUGGUGGAGAGAUGGGUUCAGCCUUGGUAACAGAGGGAUCAAAUGAAUAUAAUUCAAGGUAAGAAGGCAGUGAGUGAUGGAAGUCUCAGUCAUGCAUCAUUUUAUGAAUAUUGUUUUUGAGCACAAGGUUCUUAGAAUUGCAAUUAGUAAAUGCAUUGUCAUUUAUGCAACUCAUUUGGAGUUCGACUUUAAUUUAAAUAGAGUAAGGAUCUUUGUCAUUCAAUUUGAGGACAGUUGUAACCAAUCUCAUCUCUCAAUAUUGCAUUAAGUUUAGGGGC